GCCCUCUUGGCUAAGUGGUUACAGCGCGGCACUUGUAUAAAUUGCCUUUCUGGGUGUUUAGCAUAUGCCGAGAUCACUCGUUCAACUCGGGUAGUGGGCA
This is a non-coding RNA of Mycena latifolia, 100 nucleotides long. Lineage: Eukaryota; Fungi; Basidiomycota; Agaricomycetes; Agaricales; Mycenaceae. The record is from the annotation of a GenBank genome assembly.